RNAcentral lists this ribosomal RNA (638 nucleotides) under uncultured fungus. Its description in RNAcentral is "eukaryotic LSU rRNA". It matches the Rfam family "Eukaryotic large subunit ribosomal RNA", at positions 24 to 664 of the family's 3401-position model. The record is from RNAcentral. Lineage: Eukaryota; Fungi.
CCCGCUGAACUUAAGCAUAUCAAUAAGCGGAGGAAAAGAAACUAACAAGGAUUCCCCUAGUAACUGCGAGUGAAGCGGGAAAAGCUCAAAUUUAAAAUCUGGUGGCCUUUGGCCAUCCGAGUUGUAAUUUAGAGAAGCGUCUUCCGCGCUGGACCGUGCACAAGUCUCCUGGAAUGGAGCGUCGUAGAGGGUGAGAAUCCCGUCUUUGGCACGGACGCCCAGUGCUUCUGUGAUGCGCUCUCGAAGAGUCGAGUUGUUUGGGAAUGCAGCUCAAAAUGGGUGGUGAACUCCAUCUAAAGCUAAAUAUUGGCGAGAGACCGAUAGCGAACAAGUACCGUGAGGGAAAGAUGAAAAGCACUUUGGAAAGAGAGUGAAACAGUACGUGAAAUUGUUGAAAGGGAAACGCUUGAAGUCAGUCACGUUGGCUAGAAAUCAGCCUUGCUCUUGCUUGGUGUACUUUCUGGUUGAUGGGUCAGCAUCAAUUUUGACCAUUGGAUAAAGGUCAUUGGGAAUACUCCCUGUGUAGUAAUACAGUGGUUGGGAUUGAGGAAUUCAGCACGCCGCAAGGCAGGGUUUCGACCACAUUCGUGCUUAGGAUGCUGGCAUAAUGGCUCUAAUCGACCCGUCUUGAAACACGG